This 281-nucleotide ribosomal RNA is filed under the name unidentified marine bacterioplankton. Its description in RNAcentral is "partial 16S ribosomal RNA". It matches the Rfam family "Bacterial small subunit ribosomal RNA", at positions 56 to 339 of the family's 1533-position model. The record is from RNAcentral.
UGCAAGUCGAACGGCAGCACGGACUUCGGUCUGGUGGCGAGUGGCGAACGGGUGAGUAAUAUAUCGGAACGUGCCCAGUAGCGGGGGAUAACUACGCGAAAGCGUGGCUAAUACCGCAUACGCCCUAAGGGGGAAAGCGGGGGAUCUUGGGACCUCGCACUAUUGGAGCGGCCGAUAUCGGAUUAGCUAGUUGGUGAGGUAAUGGCUCACCAAGGCGACGAUCCGUAGCUGGUUUGAGAGGACGACCAGCCACACUGGGACUGAGACACGGCCCAGACUCC